CACACACAACAAGGUCAUGAGCACUACAGGACACCCCAUCCAAACACACACACACACACACACACACACACACACACACACAUAACAAGGUCAUGAGCACUACAGGACACCCCAGCCAAACACACACACACACACACAACAACAACAAGGUCAUGAGCACUACAGGACACCCCACACAAAACACACACAACAUAAGGUCAUGAGCACUACAGGACACCCCAGCCAAACACACACACACACACACACACACACACACACACACACACA
Molecule: long non-coding RNA, 267 nt
Organism: Anguilla rostrata (American eel)
Lineage: Eukaryota; Metazoa; Chordata; Actinopteri; Anguilliformes; Anguillidae
Exons: 2
Source: RefSeq, a predicted model, not a curated record